Molecule: ribosomal RNA, 795 nt
Filed under: uncultured archaeon
Lineage: Archaea
Description: bacterial SSU rRNA
Rfam family: Archaeal small subunit ribosomal RNA
Source: RNAcentral
ACGGCUCAGUAACACGUGGACAACCUACCCUGAGGUCGGGGAUAAACCCGGGAAACUGGGUAUAAUACCCGAUAGAUCUAGGAGGCUGGAAUGCAUUUAGAUCUAAAGUUCCGACGCCUCAGGAUGGGUCUGCGGCCUAUCAGGGUAGUAGUAGGUGUAACGUACCUACUAGCCUACGACGGGUACGGGUUGUGAGAGCAAGAGCCCGGAGAUGGAUUCUGAGACACGAAUCCAGGCCCUACGGGGUGCAGCAGGCGCGAAACCUUUACAAUGCUGGCAACAGCGAUAAGGGGACCUCGAGUGCCACGAUACAAUCGUGGCUGUCUAGUUGCCUAAAAAGCAAUUGAUAGCAAGGGCCGGGCAAGACCGGUGCCAGCCGCCGCGGUAACACCGGCGGCUCGAGUGGUAACCGCUAUUAUUUGGUCUAAAGGGUCUGUAGCCGGCUUAGUCAGUCUCUUGAGAAAUCUGGCCGCUCAACUGUCAGGCGUUCAGGGGAUACUGCUAAAGCUCGAGACCGGGAGAGGUGAGAGGUACUUCAGGGGUAGGGGUGAAAUCUUGUAAUCCUUGAAGGACCACCAGUGGCGAAGGCGUCUCACCAGAACGGAUCUGACGGCAAGGGACGAAAGCUAGGGGCACGAACCGGAUUAGAUACCCGGGUAGUCCUAGCCGUAAACGAUACUCGCUAGGUGUCAGCCACGGUGCGACCGUGGUUGGUGCCGUAGGGAAGCCGUGAAGCGAGCCACCUGGGAAGUACGGCCGCAAGGCUGAAACUUAAAGGAAUUGGCGGGGGAGCAC